Molecule: transfer RNA, 84 nt
Filed under: Fasciola hepatica (liver fluke)
Lineage: Eukaryota; Metazoa; Platyhelminthes; Trematoda; Plagiorchiida; Fasciolidae
Rfam family: tRNA
About the family: Transfer RNA (tRNA) molecules are approximately 80 nucleotides in length. Their secondary structure includes four short double-helical elements and three loops (D, anti-codon, and T loops). Further hydrogen bonds mediate the characteristic L-shaped molecular structure. tRNAs have two regions of fundamental functional importance: the anti-codon, which is responsible for specific mRNA codon recognition, and the 3' end, to which the tRNAs corresponding amino acid is attached (by aminoacyl-tRNA synthetases). tRNAs cope with the degeneracy of the genetic code in two manners: having more than one tRNA (with a specific anti-codon) for a particular amino acid; and 'wobble' base-pairing, i.e. permitting non-standard base-pairing at the 3rd anti-codon position.
Source: Rfam by way of RNAcentral
GGCCUCGUACCUGAGCUAGUAGAGCACCCGCGGUACUAAAGCGAGGAUGUUGACCAUGCGUGGGUUCGAAUCCCACCGGGGCCG